AGAGUUUGAUCAUGGCUCAGGACGAACGCUGGCGGCGUGCUUAACACAUGCAAGUCGAACGAUGAACCACUUCGGUGGGGAUUAGUGGCGAACGGGUGAGUAACACGUGGGCAAUCUGCCCUGCACUCUGGGACAAGCCCUGGAAACGGGGUCUAAUACCGGAUACUGACCCGCUUGGGCAUCCAAGCGGUUCGAAAGCUCCGGCGGUGCAGGAUGAGCCCGCGGCCUAUCAGCUUGUUGGUGAGGUAAUGGCUCACCAAGGCGACGACGGGUAGCCGGCCUGAGAGGGCGACCGGCCACACUGGGACUGAGACACGGCCCAGACUCCUACGGGAGGCAGCAGUGGGGAAUAUUGCACAAUGGGCGAAAGCCUGAUGCAGCGACGCCGCGUGAGGGAUGACGGCCCUCGGGUUGUAAACCUCUUUCAGCAGGGAAGAAGCGAAAGUGACGGUACCUGCAGAAGAAGCGCAGGCUAACUACGUGCCAGCAGCCGCGGUAAUACGUAGGGCGCGAGCGUUGUCCGGAAUUAUUGGGCGUAAAGAGCUCGUAGGCGGCUUGUCACGUCGGUUGUGAAAGCCCGGGGCUUAACCCCGGGUCUGCAGUCGAUACGGGCAGGCUAGAGUUCGGUAGGGGAGAUCGGAAUUCCUGGUGUAGCGGUGAAAUGCGCAGAUAUCAGGAGGAACACCGGUGGCGAAGGCGGAUCUCUGGGCCGAUACUGACGCUGAGGAGCGAAAGCGUGGGGAGCGAACAGGAUUAGAUACCCUGGUAGUCCACGCCGUAAACGGUGGGCACUAGGUGUGGGCGACAUUCCACGUCGUCCGUGCCGCAGCUAACGCAUUAAGUGCCCCGCCUGGGGAGUACGGCCGCAAGGCUAAAACUCAAAGGAAUUGACGG
Molecule: ribosomal RNA, 894 nt
Filed under: uncultured bacterium
Lineage: Bacteria
Description: bacterial SSU rRNA
Rfam family: Bacterial small subunit ribosomal RNA
Source: RNAcentral